Ameiurus melas (black bullhead) is the source of this 75-nucleotide non-coding RNA. Lineage: Eukaryota; Metazoa; Chordata; Actinopteri; Siluriformes; Ictaluridae. The record is from the annotation of a GenBank genome assembly.
CGGUGGCUGAGUGGUUUUGGUUAGCAUAUUCGCCUCACACCUCCAGGGUUGGGGGUUCGAUUCCCCCGCUGCCCG